Molecule: small RNA, 487 nt
Filed under: Pan troglodytes (chimpanzee)
Lineage: Eukaryota; Metazoa; Chordata; Mammalia; Primates; Hominidae
Description: retained intron
Source: RNAcentral
CUCUGGGAAAUGUCCUCUGUCUUUCUCAGAUAUUCCAGGAACCUAAGAGCGCACACCAGGUGGAGCAGGUGCUGCUGGCGUAUUCCAGGUGCAUCCAGGCCUGUGGCCAGGAGAGAGGCCAGGUGACAGGGGCCCUGCUCCUCUCUGUGGUUGGAGGAAAGAUGAGUGAAGGGAUCAACUUCUCUGACAACCUAGGCCGGUGUGUGGUGAUCGUGGGCAUGCCCUUCCCCAACAUCAGGUCUGCAGAGCUGCAGGAGAAGAUGACCUACUUGGAUCAAACCCUCGUGAGUGACCCCAGUGUGUCACAGAGGGGGUGACAGGGAGAGUAGGCAGUGGGUGGGAGUGGCAUCACCCCCAGGGCUGAUACAGCCAGGCCUUCCCUGCUGCGCUGGUGUCUCCUGCCCCCUCCGGAAGCUUGGAUGCCCCUCCACACCCUCUUGAUCUUCCCUGUGAUGUCACCUGGACCCCUGCUGCUGGCAUUGGCCAC